Molecule: ribosomal RNA, 253 nt
Filed under: uncultured bacterium
Lineage: Bacteria
Description: partial 16S ribosomal RNA
Rfam family: Bacterial small subunit ribosomal RNA
Source: RNAcentral
UACGGGGGGGGCAAGCGUUGUUCGGAAUUACUGGGCGUAAAGGGCUCGUAGGUGGCCAACUAAGUCAUACGUGAAAUCCCUCGGCUUAACCGGGGAACUGCGUCUGAUACUGGAUGGCUUGAAUCCGGGAGAGGGAUGCAGAAUUCCAGGUGUAGCGGUGAAAUGCGUAGAUAUCUGGAGGAAUACCGGUGGCGAAGGCGGCAUCCUGGACCGGCAUUGACGCUGAGGAGCGAAAGCUAGGGGAGCAAACGGG